UGGGGAAUAUUGGACAAUGGGGGGAACCCUGAUCCAGCCAUGCCGCGUGUGUGAAGAAGGCCUUAUGGUUGUAAAGCACUUUAAGCGAGGAGGAGGGUACUGGUAUUAAUACUACCAGGUACUGGACGUUACUCGCAGAAUAAGCACCGGCUAACUCUGUGCCAGCAGCCGCGGUAAUACAGAGGGUGCGAGCGUUAAUCGGAUUUACUGGGCGUAAAGCGUGCGUAGGCGGCUAAUUGAGUCGGAUGUGAAAUCCCCGAGCUUAACUUGGGAAUUGCAUUCGAUACUGGUUAGCUAGAGUGUGGGAGAGGAUGGUAGAAUUCCAGGUGUAGCGGUGAAAUGCGUAGAGAUCUGGAGGAAUACCGAUGGCGAAGGCAGCCAUCUGGCCUAACACUGACGCUGAGGUACGAAAGCAUGGGGAUCAAACAGG
RNAcentral lists this ribosomal RNA (430 nucleotides) under Pseudomonadota bacterium. RNAcentral describes it as "Proteobacteria bacterium partial 16S ribosomal RNA". It matches the Rfam family "Bacterial small subunit ribosomal RNA", at positions 355 to 776 of the family's 1533-position model. The record is from RNAcentral. Lineage: Bacteria; Pseudomonadati; Pseudomonadota.